Molecule: long non-coding RNA, 1141 nt
Organism: Drosophila gunungcola (fruit fly)
Lineage: Eukaryota; Metazoa; Arthropoda; Insecta; Diptera; Drosophilidae
Exons: 3
Source: RefSeq, a predicted model, not a curated record
CGGUCUGCCUUGGAUUCUGGUCGCGAUCGGGGCUUUUACUUUCCGUUUCCGUCGUUCACUCUAACGGUCGCUGGUUUUCGGCUAACUGUCCGCUGCGUUACCGUAAAACGCCAAAACGUAACUGAAAACUGAAAACAGAAAACAGCAAACUGAACGAGCAACUUCGAAUGCCUGGAGUCACAUCACAUCACAACACAACACAUCGUCGGCGCUCGUCGGCGGUUAUCGCUCUGCUCGUGCGCAUAUAUAGCUAUAUGAUGGCUAUAUGGCUGGCAAAAUAAAUACGAAUACCAAAUACCAGAUACCAGAUACCUGAAAGCUGUUGGCCGCUGGCGCUUAAUAUCCAUAGCCCGUAGCCCAAAGCCUAAAGCCCACAGAAAAAUGCCCUAGAGGCGCCCUGCGUGAAAGGUGCACGCCAUAACACCCCCCAGAAAAGAAAACUAGAAAAAAAGUGAUGUGUACAUUACUUAAUUGCUGGCAAAUUAUGCAUCAUCCGGACGGUGGAGCAUUUAGGCACCACAAAAGUGGACACUUCCGACGGGCAAAAUUAAAGAAAAUGCACCGAAAUGGCAUUAAUUUUUUCGGUAAACAUUUACCAAGUUUACACGUGCCGCAGUCGCAUGAUCUGCUGAUCAUGAAUGUGCAAUAAGGUCUCGAUUAUCUGUUCAUUUGCCAGGCAAAUGGGAACAACUUGUCGUUGACUCACUUUGUUGUUUAUUUGCUCAGCCCAAUGAUGGGUCAGCUUUGCGGAACAAUUGCCUUAGACAGACACGUAUUUACCUUACGAGAGUGGUUGUUCAAUGAGCCAAAGAUUAAGCGCGUUGUUGCUUUAUGACCACUGCAAUUAAGGCGUAUUUAUAGAUCAAUUCAGUGGCGUAACCAGGAUUUGAUUCUUAAAACCGCUUCUCCUACCUACGCCCCUGGAUCAGUUAUUAAGUUUCCCAACAAAGAGUGCCUCAUAAAUUAUAUAUUUGAAAAAUGAACCACUGAACGUUGGUUUUAUUAAUCUGCUGCGGCUACAAUGUAAUCUCAUUAAUAUUUUAUCAAUACUUCAAGAAAUCGUUUAACUGAUAUUUUGCAAAAGCGUGUAGCCUCUUUAAAAGGUAUGUCAAUACAGAUAUAAAUCUUUAUAACUUUUAAA